GCAAACUUGGUCAUUUAGAGGAAGUAAAAGUCGUAACAAGGUUUCCGUAGGUGAACCUGCGGAAGGAUCAUUAAUGUGUUUGAGCUUCGGCUCUUCAUCCAGACGCUGUGCGCCUUCGGGCCGCACGCUGACGGAGCAUAUAUCCACCCCUGUGCACACACACGGUGACGAGCUGGAUAACGGCUCGCCGCUGAUUUUUACACACGUCUAAAAGUCUUGUAUGUUUUAUUGUAUAAAAAAACAACUUUCAGCAACGGAUCUCUUGGCUCUCGCAUCGAUGAAGAACGCAGC
RNAcentral lists this unclassified non-coding RNA (291 nucleotides) under uncultured fungus. Its description in RNAcentral is "partial contains small subunit ribosomal RNA, internal transcribed spacer 1, and 5.8S ribosomal RNA". The stretch from base 1 to 73 matches the Rfam family "Eukaryotic small subunit ribosomal RNA", at positions 1759 to 1831 of the family's 1831-position model. The record is from RNAcentral. Lineage: Eukaryota; Fungi.